Molecule: long non-coding RNA, 222 nt
Filed under: Elaeis guineensis (African oil palm)
Lineage: Eukaryota; Viridiplantae; Streptophyta; Magnoliopsida; Arecales; Arecaceae
Description: long non-coding RNA (EGUI_LNC007051)
Source: RNAcentral
AGGUAUAUAGUUUACAUUUGAGAUAUACUCUUGUUCACCACUCUUCUAUUUAAACAUGAUUUUUUCUUUUUCUUUCAUAGGUACUUUGAUAAAUCAUCAAAUUUUAUAUUAUUAUGUACAUCCUCCUUCAUUUCAACAAAUAGUUCUUUUUUACCACAUAUAUGAAUCAAGAAACCAUAUGUUUUAUGGAUCUUCAACAGCUUCUUGGCAUGUGAGUAGAAG